RNAcentral lists this ribosomal RNA (253 nucleotides) under uncultured bacterium. RNAcentral describes it as "partial 16S ribosomal RNA". It matches the Rfam family "Bacterial small subunit ribosomal RNA", at positions 524 to 776 of the family's 1533-position model. The record is from RNAcentral.
UACGGGGGGAGCAAGCGUUGUUCGGAUUUACUGGGCGUAAAGGGCGCGUAGGCGGCGCAACAAGUCACUUGUGAAAUCUCCGGGCUUAACCCGGAGCGGCCAAGUGAUACUGUCGUGCUAGAGUGCGGAAGGGGCUACUGGAAUUCUCGGUGUAGCGGUGAAAUGCGUAGAUAUGCGGAGGAACACCGAUGGCGAAGGCAAUCCCCUGGGCCUGCACUGACGCUCAUGCACGAAAGCGUGGGGAGCAAACAGG